GCCGGGGUGCCCUAGCCUGGUAGGGGGCCGGCCUGCUAAGCCGGUGGCCUUACGGGCCGCGUGGGUUCGAAUCCCACCCCCGGCG
Molecule: transfer RNA, 85 nt
Rfam family: tRNA
About the family: Transfer RNA (tRNA) molecules are approximately 80 nucleotides in length.